RNAcentral lists this long non-coding RNA (2005 nucleotides) under Canis lupus familiaris (dog). RNAcentral's name for it is "lncRNA (ENSCAFG00000056580.1, ENSCAFG00845018305.1)". Lineage: Eukaryota; Metazoa; Chordata; Mammalia; Carnivora; Canidae. The record is from RNAcentral.
AUGGAGCUCCCAGGCCAGGGAGCACAUGUGCUGGGUGGGGGUGGCGGUGGGAGAACAGAGAUGCCAAAGCUGCCAAAGGCCUGGUCUCUUCCCAUCUCAGACACCCUCAAGGCACUGUCCUCUCUCUACAUCCAGAGCUUGGCUGCAGCGGGGGUAGAUGAAAAGGAGGAGAAACUGUUGGAUAAAAAGAAAUUCAAAAAAAAAAGCCCCAAACUCAGGACCAGGUCCCUGACCGGGUUGAGGCUGCCUUGGGUGCACCUAUGGCUAUGUCACAUGUCUGGUGGCUGUGUUGGUGAGAGACCCAAAUUCUGGCAAGAUCAACUUCUACUCAAGAGAAAUGAAGACAUGGGCCCACAUAAAAACUUAUAUGACAAUGAUCACAGCGGUAUUUUUCAUAAUGGCCAAAAAGUGGAAAUAAUCCAAAUGUCCAUCCACUGGUGAAUACAUAAAUAAAAUGUAGUCUAUCCAUACAACGGGAUAUUAUUUGGUCAUGAAAAGUGAUGAAGUACUGAUUCAUGUUAUAACAUGGAUGGAUAUUGAAGACUCUAUGUUAAGUGAAAGAAGCCAGUCACAAAAAACCAUGCAUUCUUUUAGUCCCUUUAUAUGAAAAUAAAGAAUCAGCGAAUAUAUAGAAAAAAUAUAUUAAGAGUUGUUUAGGACUGGGGGUGAGAGGUAUUUUGGGGAAAAAAGAGACUGCUAACGAGAAUGGGGCUAGUGGUGGGGAGAUGGCUCAAAUGUUCUAAAAUGUCUGACAGCGAUGGUUGCACAACCCUGUAGAUCUACUAAAAACCAUUGACUUGUGAGGUGCCUGGGUAGCUCAGUCCAACAAGCGUUCAACUCUUGAUUUUGGCUCAGGUCAUGAUUUCAGGGUUGUGGGAUUGAGCCCCAUGUAGGAACUAGUGUGGAGCCUGCUUAAGAUUCUCUCUCUCCCUCUCCCUCUACCUCUCCACACCCCCCGACACUGGCUCAGACUCUUUCUCUCUAGAGACAAAACAAAACAAAACACCAUUGACUUGUACACUUUAAAUAGAUGAAUUGCACUGUAUGUGAAUUAUAUCUUAAUAAAGCUGUUAUUUUAAAAAAGUGAUGUGACUUACUUAGGGUCUCUCAGGAAGUGGGAGGUGUCACUGGUACUAGAAUGUGGUCUUUUGACUCUACGCUCAGUGCUCUUUCCAGAAGCCCUACAAUGCCUCAAAAAUCUUGCUGUGGAGAUUUGAAGGCCAAAUCCUUCAUGUAUGGGGGUACCCACAUAACAUUUUGGCUUUUCUGUAGGGUUGUCACAUUUCAGUGUGUAAUAGUGUCUCUCAUUAUAUGUGUGCACGUAAGGAUUUGUGGUCUUACAGCUCUGUGUGUCUCUGCAAGUAUGACUCUGCACAUCUGUAUCUAGGCCUACGGAUCUCUCAAUUGUGAGUGUGGAGUGUACCUGUGAACUUCUGCUCACUGGCUGGGUCUCUGUGUGUUUGCAUUCAUAGGUAUAUUUGGUUGGGCCCAGGUCUCUGAAUGUCAGUGCUAGGUCUGGAUCUGUGAGGUCAUGGGACUUCAGGGGAGUCUGUGUGCAUGUGUUCUAUGUAUGACGGUGUGUCUACCAUCGUAAUGUGUCUCGGUGGGUACCCAUGGAUUUCCUAUUGCAUCAGCUUAUGGGUUUGGGUUCAUGUGCCCUCACCUCAGAGUCUCUGCCUGUGAUACAUGUUGGCACCUCUCUCCACAUGUCCAUCUAUAUGUUGGCAUUCUGGUGUCCACACAGGUUCAUCUCUGGGACCUUGCAUCUAUGUGGCGGGGCCGCUGUCCAUCUGAGUCUGCGAGUCUGAACCCCUCCUGCAGGCACCAACCCCAGAAGGCGCCUGCCUCCCCACCCCCGCCCCUGACAGCCGUGGAGAGAGCUACACAGUAAAUUCAUGGCCGCCUGGCUGGGAAACAGGCGGCUGCAAUGGAAAGGAAGCAUGGAUUUGCAUAUUGAAUUAAAAUUAAGAGCUAAUUAUGCAAAUAAAUUAUGACAUUUGGCAGG